Leptidea sinapis is the source of this 14090-nucleotide long non-coding RNA. RefSeq lists it as uncharacterized. NCBI's taxonomy places the organism in Eukaryota, Metazoa, Arthropoda, Insecta, Lepidoptera, Pieridae. The transcript is spliced from 7 exons. The record is from RefSeq and is a predicted model, not a curated record.
ACCAUAUUAGUGCCUGACUAUCACCAUAGAACAUAUUGAUGAUUGAAGAUCUUGACUCAGACGAGAUGAAGUUACUGCAUUGCAGAGGCCAAGCUCUUUACCAAGAGCCUGUUGGUUAGAUGAACUCUUUGUUAUCCUCUCUCCUCAGCUAAUUAGUGGACAAUUCACGAUCAAUUAUGAAGAUAUAGAAGCGACAUUCACGCAUCGGUCAGCGACGUGCAAUACCAACAGCUUUUAUCUGAUGAUUGUAGAUCAAGAGUCAGACGAGAUGAAGUUAUUAAAUUGCAGAGGCCAAGCUCUUUACCAAGAGCCUGUUGGUUAGAUGUACUCUUUGUAAUCCUCUCUCCUCAGUUAAUUAGUGGACAAUUCACGAUCAAUUAUGAAGAUAUACAAGGGAAAGGCACGAGUCGAUCGGCGGCGUGCAAUACAAACAGCUUUUAUCUGGUGCUGACUUCAAUUGAAGAUUUGCCCGCAUCAAGAUACUGCAAUGUAAGGAACCCUGCACUGCACCGUGUCAUAUUAACUACCUGUAUUAUUGAUGAGGGACAUAAAUAUAUAUUGAUAAUGACUCAAGAUCUCCUCGCGAUUGUCUUCGGAAUGAGUUUUAGAAUACUUCGGUCACAUCGCAAGGAAGGACGAUGGAAGACUUGAGAGACUGAUUGUGGUCGGCAAAAUAGAUGAGAAGAGGCCCCGUGGACGCAGUCCAACACGAUGGUCCAAACAGAUCCGCUCCGCCCUCGACUCUACGGUUCACAAUGCCUUUCACACCGCCAGAGACAGGAAUAGAUGGAGAGCGAUCAUACGAGAGAAAGUGAUACAGAAAGGUGGUCACGACACUCAGUACUGAGGAUUACGACGCAGGGAGGAUUAUUGAUGAACAAAUUGGUCGCAUUUCCUAAAUAUUAUGUUACUUAAGUGUUGGAUUCUCCCGUCCUCCUACACUACAUUUAUUUUGCCAUUACAUUCGAUGAGGGCAGAGUAGGAGUGGUCCUCAUGGAGAUAACCUUUGUUCAGGAGUGGACGACUUCCGGCCGAUGAUGAUGACGUUAGUUAAAAUUUGAAUAUAUAUAUUGUAUAAUGUACUAAAUGAAACACACUUACAGAGUGACAUGGUAUAUUUUUAUAUAAAUGUUAUUGUUUUUAUACAUAUUACUUACUAUAAAUCGCAUAAUAAUCGCAAAGAAACAACAAAUAAUUCUUUUCACACAUAUUAAUAUGCGAAUACUAAUUUCACUAGCUAUAACUUACUACUACUAGUAGUAAACGAUACAAUGUUACUAUGCUAAUGGAUUGUAUUUAAAUAAAAUCGAUUUACUACAGAAUAAAUGUUAGUAGUAUGAGGGUAGAUUGUAUUCUACUAGUAAUAAUUGUAGUAGUUGUACUCUAUAACAACCGAUCUGUACAAAUAUAUCGUUCUCUUAUAAAAAAAAGGAUUGUGUGGUUUUAUGAAACCACGGUAAAAGUGAAACUUUUUUUCACAUUAUAGACAUUUAACUAAAAUUUUUUGGAAUAAUAUUCCUGGGUAUAAAAAUCGCUUUAUCAAUCUUAAUUUAAUACUUGGAAAAAUGGAAUGAUAAUGGGAAAUAAUGAAAAUAGACUAAGUCUCAAACUAAUAUUUUUAUUGAACUCUGUGACUUAACCUGGUUAUUGAUUGAAAAGGAUUAAAAAUGAUGAAAUUUUAAUACUUUUGAAUACUUUCAAUUCUUUUUGAUGUAUAUAUAAAUAUACAGUUUACAUGGGGUGACUGAUUCCCAAUACUUUUUAAUCUUUAAUCAGGGAGAGUACGACAUACAUAAUACUUAACCAUUAUUUAGAUUAUAUACACAUACUAAAAAACAAACAAAAUAGCGCGGGACACUGGCACGAAUGAGUAAUACACCACACGGUGAGCUGGUGCGAACUAUAGGCGUCGCCCGACCGUCACGCGACAUGCAACACACAGACGAAAAUGUUUGAGACGAUCAAAUAAAAGUUUCUUUCCUAAAAGACCUGUAUCGCUCCUAUGAUGAGCGGCCACUGGGUGAGGUGACAAGUACGCUCAUUUUUCUUUGUCUUUAAAUCAUACGCAAAUAUUUAAACAAACAUCCUCCAUUAAUUAUUGGGACAAAUUUAAUGUGACGUUGCAAGGAGUAAGUGAAAUAAAAAAUCAGUUCGUUAUUUUCCAAAAUAUUAUCUGGUAGUUUUCAUAAAAAGUCAUACCCCUCGCAGCGAAAGUUCUGGCGUAGGACGUGACGAACCCACCGCCCACAGCUGUUAUAUCUUGGUCAAGAAGGUAUAACAGCUGCGCAGUCAGUCCGUACCCUCUCAUUCUUUGUGGCACUCUCUUAACAAACAAUUUUCACAAAAUUCAAAAACUAAUGUUGUCUUAAAGAACGAUAUAACAACAAUCUGCCAUAAAUUUAAUGAGUGUAACUGUCAAUCUCCUACUUAACAGAUUUUUCCCCCGUAUUUUGAAUUUUAUGAAAAUUGUUAUCAGGGUACUAAAAUGUAUGAUAUGCCACGACAUUAUUUAUAAAUUAUUUUUACAGUUAUGUGUUAUCCAAUGUUAAUAAAUUGUACUUACUACACUAUGUACGAUAUAUACCCUCUAAAAUAUGUUUACAAACAAUAUUAAGUAGUGUUAUGUUAUACGAUAACUUUCAUGAAAUAUUCCUUACAUGGAUACUUUCUUUUGUAUUUGAGUCUUGGGUAAUUUUUAACGAUACGUGUCAAUUAGCUUUUUGUAAAAUUUGAUUUUAAUUAAAGACACGGCAAUACUUCAAGCCGGCCCACAUUCUAGCGCUGAACAAAGCGCAGGUCCGGCCACACAUGGAGUAUUGCUGUCAUCUCUGGUCUGGCGCACCCCAGUGUCAGCUCGAUCCAAUUGACCGCGUGCAACGCAGGGCAGCUCGAAUUGUCGGGGACCCAGUGCUCUGUGAACGGCUGGAUCACUUGGCGUUGCGCAGAGCCGUCGCUUCAUUGUGUGUCUUCUACCGCAUUUAUCACGUGGAAUGUUCCGAAGAGCUAUUUAACCUGAUUAACCUGAAUGAUGCAGUAGAUUGUGGGCGGCGGUGAUCACUUAACGUACGCUCGUUUUUCCUGCUAUUCCAUAAUAAAAAAGACAAACCAACUGAUUCUUCUAUUCAGCGACAACAUUAAAACAAACGACUUCAUAUUCGUAAAAAAUAUAUAUUUUUUUGCAAUAGUAUAUACUUUCAAAAGGGAUUUCAACAGAUAUAGAUAUUAAAAUGACCGCUUGUGUUAUUUCACAGAGAACACAACGCAUAUAGUUCUGUCUUUUAAAUAAUUGACACGUAUUUAAUACCAUUACUUUCGAUUACUUUUUUUUGUAAGAAGUUCUCAUAAGUUUAAUGAAGUUUUGCUUAUCAUUUAUUACCAUCUUGCUAUAGAGCCGUGUAUCACACUAGUGCGAUACACUGUUCUUAGUAUUUCCAAAAUAUGUAAGGUGGAGGAAUUUUGGGCUGACCAUUUGAUGCGUGUGGAGCGCGCAUCAAGUAGAGCCAGGUAGGAGGUCUGUAAUUAUCGAUACGAAUCAAGCAUUAUUAUAGAUUUUAUAUUUAUGUGUGAUGAUCUUAACCCAGACUUUAAUCAUUAUUUUAAAUAUUUGUAAGUACUUAUUGUUAACCCAACAACAAUCUUAAGAUAUAAUAUUAUGUGACUGUAUGUAAAAUACCUGCACGAAGUUGUUAUAAGUCAGUUAAAGGUAUAUAUAUUAUUUAAAUGGACGUAAUUUUUAUCGUAUUAAAUUACACGGGGAAACUUAUAUUGAAAUAAGUUUCAAAGUGGUUAUAUUAAAAAGACAAUUUCAGUUUUAUGUUUGGCAAUUUUUGAUACGAUGGCAGACACUGUGGCACCUUUAUGUGAAAUAGUCAAUAGAUGAUAUAAAAUUAAAAUGUUCUUAUUGAUACACAUACAAAAAAUAUAUUCUUCAGUAUAUAAAAUAAAAUCUAAAAGUACGGCAUAUAGAGUAUUAUCGGACUGAAUAAAAUUAUCUUGUAGACGGUUGUUAAGUAAAUUAAACAUAUAUAGUUAAUAUUCGCAAGAAGUUAAAAUAAAUGUUUUGAAAAAUGCAAAAAUAGAAGAAUAAUUUUCAAAAGACAAAAAUUGAAGAAGGAUUUCUAUAGUAAUAAGGCAGAAUAGAUGAAACAUAAUAUUAUUAAUAUCCAAUUUAAAACUAAGAAUUAAACAAAAGUAACAAUUAGAAAGAAUGCUGAAAAAAAAGAAUUUCACUUGCACACAGAGAUACAAAUGCUAGAUACAGCAAUAAACAAGAUCUAGUUUCAAUCAAGGCAAGGGACGCUCAAUGUAAUAAUAUGGCUGGAUCUCAACGAACAGUCGGGUAAAAGCAAUGUGAGCAAAAAUAUAAACUUUUCAUCUAGAUAUGUUAUUUUUUUAAUAUGCGUAUUGUUUGAAAGAAUGUCGCAUUGACCUGUAAAUGCCUCUUCACGAUGAUUUUUAUGGCAUACAAUUUUUGCGUGAAAUUGGAUAGGAGUUUGUCUCUUUUAGUAACGUGAAAGAUUCAAAUCCUGACUGUACGGUGAGCUCCAUCCAUAUUAUUGAAUCUUGAGCUCCCUUUCCAUGUUUGGAACUAGAUCUUGUUGAUUGCUAUAUCUAGCCUACGUUUAUCUAGGUACUUGUUGAAUUCUUCUGUUUUUGUUUUUGUGUUUUUUAUUUUUGUUAUUCUUUAUUUGAACUGGAUAGAAAGCCUAUUCUGCUUCAUCUAUUCUAUCAAUAUACACGAGAAACCAAUUUUUUAAUUAUUUUUCUGUACCAUUUGUUCUACGUCAUUUACAAUUUUCAAAUAUUUUCAUAUACUCCUUUUCCAAAAAUACUUUUUCUUUAAUUUUCUUAUAAUACUACUACUACUUUGUAUAUUUUAUUUGAUUUUUAACAAUAUUUAAUAAUUUAUGAUUUAUUUUAAUUUUGGAUAAUAUAUUAAAGGUACGUGUUUCUAUUUAUAAUAAAAUCGUUCAUUUGUGUCUAAUAUCGUAUUUUUUCCCAUAAGUUUUACAAACUUUGCCAUCUACUAAACAAUUACCAUUCAUCACGAAUACUUCAAAGUUUUGAAAUUUUAGCACUUGUAAUAUUUUUAGUUUAUAUUUUUCUAUAUAUCUGAAUUCGAAUCAAGCUACGCCCUUUUAUAUAAUAAGAUAAUCAUAUCUUAUAUAUAAAAACUAUGUAUUCAGUUAUUAUGUACAGUGACAGAAGGUAUCUUAAGUUUAUUGUUGGAUUAAUAAUAUGUACAAAUGAAUGAAAUACUAUGAUGUCGUGAGGCUUAAAAUAAUGAUGCACCAAGGUAUAAAACUAUAAAAUUGUUUGGAUCAUGUCAAAUAUUUGAGAGCUCCAACCCCGCACCACAAAGUGGGCCCCAGGCAGCGAAUGGGCUACCUUUUAAAUCUCUCCACCUCCCUGCCUACGGGCUCCCAGCUAUGCAGUGCACUGAGGUUGAAAUUCAUAGUAUUGACUAUGCUUGCUUGUCAGUUUGCGAGUCCGCUGCUGCUUGCUUGUGGUACUUUGCUAUGUAGCUCACCCUUGGAGUAAUGCGUGAGCGUGACCUUGUCGGGGUGGGAGGGCUUAUGCUCAGGUCUUCCAGCUGACUCCAGCGGAUACUAUGGGCAACUAACGAGGAGCUCAACCCAAGCUAAAGUAUAAAAUAUCGUGCUGAUGGCUGAAUGGCACUGGGGUUGGAAUACGGUGUCAUGAACGAUCUCCUUGAGGCGCCUGCGGGCACCCCAUGGUAAUUAAACUCCAGGCAUGCGAGAUUGCCGGGUGUUAAUGAUAAUGUAAUCAGUAUUAAAUAUGACAACACGUUAUGGAAUCUAUUACGUAGCGCCUGUUGUAAUCAUAAUACUGGUAAUAAUUAUAAUAUAGAUAUAAUAUUAGCACUUGAAUGGAUCAACGUAUUAAAACUGACUUGUAAGUCUACACUAAUCAUCGAUUACUACCUUUAUUCUGUAAGUUUACUUUAUUUUAUCAAGUAUAAAUAUGAAGAUGUUUUUUCUUUACCUUUUAUAAUAAUAUGAUUAAUUGUAUAAUUAUAAGUGGAGACACCAUCACCGUUUACUCGCAGCGGAAGUACUGGCGUAGGACGUGACGAACCCACCGCCCACAGCUGUUAUAUCUUGGUCAAGAAGGUAUAACAGCUGCGCAGUCAGUCAGUACCCUCUCGUUCUUUGUGGCACUCUCUUAACAAACAAUUUUCACAAAAAUCAAAAACUAAUGUAGUCUUGAACAAGGAUAAGAAACAAUCUGCCUUAAAAUUAAUGAGUGUAACUGUCACUCUCCUACUUAACAGAUUUUUUCCACGUAUUUUGAAUUUUAUGGAAAUUGUUAUCAGGGUACUAAAAUGUAUGAUAUGCCACGACAUUAUUUAUAAAUUAUUUUUACAGUUAUGUGUUAUCCAAUGUUAAUAAAUUGUACUGUACUACACUAUGUACGAUAUAUACCCUCUAAAAUAUGUUUACAAACAAUAUUAAGUAGUGUUAUGUUAUACGAUAACUCUCAUGAAAUAUGCCUCACAUGGAUACUUUUCUUUUGUAUUUGAGUCUUGGGUAAUUUUUAACGAUACGUGUCAAUUAGCUUUUUGUAAAAUUUGAUUUUAAUUAAAGACACGGCAAUACUUCAAGCCGGCCCACAUUCUAGCGCUGAACGAAGCGCAGGUCCGGCCACACAUGGAGUAUUGCUGUCAUCUCUGGUCUGGCGCACCCCAGUAUCAGCUCGAUCCAAUUGACCGCGUGCAACGCAGGGCAGCUCGAAUUGUCGGGGACCCAGUGCUCUGUGAACGGCUGGAUCACUAGGCGUUGCGCAGAGCCGUCGUUUCAUUGUGUGUCUUCUACCGCAUUUAUCACGUGGAAUGUUCCGAAGAGCUAUUUAACCUGAUUAACCUGAAUGAUGCAGUAGAUUGUGGGCGGCGGUGAUCACUUAACAACAGGUGACCCGUACGCUCGUUUUUCCUGCUAUUCCAUGAUAAAAAAAGACAAACCAGUUGAUUCUUCUAUUCGGCGACAACAUUAAAACAAACGACUUCAUAUUCGUAAAAAAUAUAUAUUUUUUUGCAAUAGUAUAUACUUUUAAAAGGGGUUUCAACAGAUAUAGAUAUUAAAACGGCCGCUUGUGUUAUUUCACAGAGAACACAACGCAUAUAGUUCUGUCUUUUAAAUAAUUGACACGUAUUUAAUACCAUUACUUUCGAUUAUUUAUUUUGUAAGAAGUUCUCAUAAGUUUAAUGAAGUUUUGCUUAUCAUUUAUUACCAUCUCGCUAUAGAGCCGUGUAUCACACUAGUGCGAUACACUGUUCUUAGUAUUUCCAAAAUAUGUAAGGUGGAGGAAUUUUGGGCUGACCAUUUGAUGCGUGUGGAGCGCGCAUCAAGUAGAGCCAGGUAGGAGCUCUGUAAGUAUCGAUACAUUAUUAUAGAUUUUAUAUUUAUGUGUGAUGAUCUUAACCCAGACUUUAAUCAUUAUUUUAAAUAUUUGUAAGUACUUAUUGUUAACCCAACAACAAUCUUAAGAUAUAAUAUUAUGUGACUGUAUGUAAAAUACCUGCACGAAGUUGUUAUAAGUCAGUUAAAGGUAUAUAUAUUAUUUAAAUGGACGUAAUUUUUAUCGUAUUAAAUUACACGGGGAAACUUAUAUUGAAAUAAGUUUCAAAGUGGUUAUAUUAAAAAGACAAUAUCAGUUUUAUGUUUGGCAAUUUUUGAUACGAUGGCAGACACUGUGGCACCUUUAUGUGAAAUAGUCAAUAGAUGAUAUAAAAUUAAAAUGUUCUUAUUGAUACACAUACAAAAAAUAUAUUCUUCAGUAUAUAAAAUAAAAUCUAAAAGUACGGCAUAUAGAGUAUUAUCGGACUGAAUAAAAUUAUCUUGUAGACGGUUGUUAAGUAAAUUAAACAUAUAUAGUUAAUAUUCGCAAGAAGUUAAAAUAAAUGUUUUGAAAAAUGCAAAAAUAGAAGAAUAAUUUUCAAAAGACAAAAAUUGAAGAAGGAUUUCUAUAGUAAUAAGGCAGAAUAGAUGAAACAUAAUAUUAUUAAUAUCCAAUUUAAAACUAAGAAUUAAACAAAAGUAACAAUUAGAAAGAAUGCUGAAAAAAUAGAAUUUCACUUGCACACAGAGAUACAAAUGCUAGAUACAGCAAUAAACAAGAUCUAGUUUCAAUCAAGGCAAGGGACGCUCAAUGUAAUAAUAUGGCUGGAUCUCAACGAACAGUCGGGUAAAAGCAAUGUGAGCAAAAAUAUAAACUUUUCAUCUAGAUAUGUUAUUUUUUUAAUAUGCGUAUUGUUUGAAAGAAUGUCGCAUUGACCUGUAAAUGCCUCUUCACGAUGAUUUUUAUGGCAUACAAUUUUUGCGUGAAAUUGGAUAGGAGUUUGUCUCUUUUAGUAACGUGAAAGAUUAAAAUCCUGACUGUACGGUGAGCUCCAUCCAUAUUAUUGAAUCUUGAGCUCCCUUUCCAUGUUUGGAACUAGAUCUUGUUGAUUGCUAUAUCUAGCCUACGUUUAUCUAGGUACUUGUUGAAUUCUUCUGUUUUUGUUUUUGUGUUUUUUAUUUUUGUUAUUCUUUAUUUGAACUGGAUAGAAAGCCUAUUCUGCUUCAUCUAUUCUAUCAAUAUACACGAGAAACCAAUUUUUUAAUUAUUUUUCUGUACCAUUUGUUCUACGUCAUUUACAAUUUUCAAAUAUUUUCAUAUACUCCUUUUCCAAAAAUACUUUUUCUUUAAUUUUCUUAUAAUACUACUACUACUUUGUAUAUUUUAUUUGAUUUUUAACAAUAUUUAAUAAUUUAUGAUUUAUUUUAAUAUUGGAUAAUAUAUUAAAGGUACGUGUUUCUAUUUAUAAUAAAAUCGUUCAUUCGUGUCUAAUAUCGUAUUUUGUCCCAUAAGUUUUACAAACUUUGCCAUCUACUAAACAAUUACCAAUCAUCACGAAUACUUCAAAGUUUUGAAAUUUUAGCACUUGUAAUAUUUUUAGUUUAUAUUUUUCUAUAUAUCUGAAUUCGAAUCAAGCUACGCCCUUUUAUAUAAAAAGAUAAUCAUAUCUUAUAUAUAAAAACUAUGUAUUCAGUUAUUAUGUACAGUGACAGAAGGUAUCUUAAGUUUAUUGUUGGAUUAAUAAUAUGUACAAAUGAAUGAAAUACUAUGAUGUCGUGAGGCUUAAAAUAAUGAUGCACCAAGGUAUAAAACUAUAAAAUUGUUUGGAUCAUGUCAAAUAUUUGAGAGCUCCAACCCCGCACCACAAAGUGGGCCCCAGGCAGCGAAUGGGCUACCUUUUAAAUCUCUCCACCUCCCUGCCUACGGGCUCCCAGCUAUGCAGUGCACUGAGGUUGAAAUUCAUAGUAUUGUCUAUGCUUGCUUGUCAGUUUGCGAGUCCGCUGCUGCUUGCUUGUGGUACUUUGCUAUGUAGCUCACCCUUGGAGUAAUGCGUGAGCGUGACCUUGUCGGGGUGGGAGGGCUUAUGCUCAGGUCUUCCAGCUGACUCCAGCGGAUACUAUGGGCAACUAACGAGGAGCUCAACCCAAGCUAAAGUAUAAAAUAUCGUGCUGAUGGCUGAAUGGCACUGGGGUUGGAAUACGGUGUCAUGAACGAUCUCCUUGAGGCGCCUGCGGGCACCCCAUGGUAAUUAAACUCCAGGCAUGCGAGAUUGCCGGGUGUUAAUGAUAAUGUAAUAAGUAUUAAAUAUGACAACACGUUAUGGAAUCUAUUACGUAGCGCCUGUUGUAAUCAUAAUACUGGUAAUAAUUAUAAUAUAGAUAUAAUAUUAGCACUUGAAUGGAUCAACGUAUUAAAACUGACUUGUAAGUCUACACUAAUCAUCGAUUACUACCUUUAUUCUGUAAGUUUACUUUAUUUUAUCAAGUAUAAAUAUGAAGAUGUUUUUUCUUUACCUUUUAUAAUAAUAUGAUUAAUUGUAUAAUUAUAAGUGGAGACACCAUCACCGUUUACUCGCAGCGGAAGUACUGGCGUAGGACGUGACGAACCCACCGCCCACAGCUGUUAUAUCUUGGUCAAGAAGGUAUAACAGCUGCGCAGUCAGUCAGUACCCUCUCGUUCUUUGUGGCACUCUCUUAACAAACAAUUUUCACAAAAAUCAAAAACUAAUGUAGUCUUGAACAAGGAUAAGAAACAAUCUGCCUUAAAAUUAAUGAGUGUAACUGUCACUCUCCUACUUAACAGAUUUUUUCCACGUAUUUUGAAUUUUAUGGAAAUUGUUAUCAGGGUACUAAAAUGUAUGAUAUGCCACGACAUUAUUUAUAAAAUAUUUUUACAGUUAUGUGUUAUCCAAUGUUAAUAAAUUGUACUGUACUACACUAUGUACGAUAUAUACCCUCUAAAAUAUGUUUACAAACAAUAUUAAGUAGUGUUAUGUUAUACGAUAACUCUCAUGAAAUAUGCCUCACAUGGAUACUUUUCUUUUGUAUUUGAGUCUUGGGUAAUUUUUAACGAUACGUGUCAAUUAGCUUUUUGUAAAAUUUGAUUUUAAUUAAAGACACGGCAAUACUUCAAGCCGGCCCACAUUCUAGCGCUGAACGAAGCGCAGGUCCGGCCACACAUGGAGUAUUGCUGUCAUCUCUGGUCUGGCGCACCCCAGUAUCAGCUCGAUCCAAUUGACCGCGUGCAACGCAGGGCAGCUCGAAUUGUCGGGGACCCAGUGCUCUGUGAACGGCUGGAUCACUAGGCGUUGCGCAGAGCCGUCGUUUCAUUGUGUGUCUUCUACCGCAUUUAUCACGUGGAAUGUUCCGAAGAGCUAUUUAACCUGAUUAACCUGAAUGAUGCAGUAGAUUGUGGGCGGCGGUGAUCACUUAACAACAGGUGACCCGUACGCUCGUUUUUCCUGCUAUUCCAUGAUAAAAAAAGACAAACCAGUUGAUUCUUCUAUUCGGCGACAACAUUAAAACAAACGACUUCAUAUUCGUAAAAAAUAUAUAUUUUUUUGCAAUAGUAUAUACUUUUAAAAGGGGUUUCAACAGAUAUAGAUAUUAAAACGGCCGCUUGUGUUAUUUCACAGAGAACACAACGCAUAUAGUUCUGUCUUUUAAAUAAUUGACACGUAUUUAAUACCAUUACUUUCGAUUACUUUUUUUUGUAAGAAGUUCUCAUAAGUUUAAUGAAGUUUUGCUUAUCAUUUAUUACCAUCUUGCUAUAGAGCCGUGUAUCACACUAGUGCGAUACACUGUUCUUAGUAUUUCCAAAAUAUGUAAGGUGGAGGAAUUUUGGGCUGACCAUUUGAUGCGUGUGGAGCGCGCAUCAAGUAGAGCCAGGUAGGAGGUCUGUAAUUAUCGAUACGAUUCAAGCAUUAUUAUAGAUUUUAUAUUUAUGUGUGAUGAUCUUAACCCAGACUUUAAUCAUUAUUUUAAAUAUUUGUAAGUACUUAUUGUUAACCCAACAACAAUCUUAAGAUAUAAUAUUAUGUGACUGUAUGUAAAAUACCUGCACGAAGUUGUUAUAAGUCAGUUAAAGGUAUAUAUAUUAUUUAAAUGGACGUAAUUUUUAUCGUAUUAAAUUACACGGGGAAACUUAUAUUGAAAUAAGUUUCAAAGUGGUUAUAUUAAAAAGACAAUAUCAGUUUUAUGUUUGGCAAUUUUUGAUACGAUGGCAGACACUGUGGCACCUUUAUGUGAAAUAGUCAAUAGAUGAUAUAAAAUUAAAAUGUUCUUAUUGAUACACAUACAAAAAAUAUAUUCUUCAGUAUAUAAAAUAAAAUCUAAAAGUACGGCAUAUAGAGUAUUAUCGGACUGAAUAAAAUUAUCUUGUAGACGGUUGUUAAGUAAAUUAAACAUAUAUAGUUAAUAUUCGCAAGAAGUUAAAAUAAAUGUUUUGAAAAAUGCAAAAAUAGAAGAAUAAUUUUCAAAAGACAAAAAUUGAAGAAGGAUUUCUAUAGUAAUAAGGCAGAAUAGAUGAAACAUAAUAUUAUUAAUAUCCAAUUUAAAACUAAGAAUUAAACAAAAGUAACAAUUAGAAAGAAUGCUGAAAAAAUAGAAUUUCACUUGCACAUAGAGAUACAAAUGCUAGAUACAGCAAUAAACAAAAUCUAGUUUCAAUCAAGGCAAGGGACGCUCAAUGUAAUAAUAUGCCUGGAUCUCAACGAACAGUCGGGUAAAAGCAAUGUGAGCAAAAAUAUAAACUUUUCAUCUAGAUAUGUUAUUUUUUUAAUAUGCGUUUUGUUUGAAAGAAUGUCGCAUUGACCUGUAAAUGCCUCUUCACGAUGAUUUUUAUGGCAUACAAUUUUUGCGUGAAAUUGGAUAGGAGUUUGUCUCUUUUAGUAACGUGAAAGAUUAAAAUCCUGACUGUACGGUGAGCUCCAUCCAUAUUAUUGAAUCUUGAGCUCCCUUUCCAUGUUUGGAACUAGAUCUUGUUGAUUGCUAUAUCUAGCCUACGUUUAUCUAGGUACUUGUUGAAUUCUUCUGUUUCUGUUUUUGUGUUUUUUAUUUUUGUUAUUCUUUAUUGGAACUGGAUAGAAAGGCUAUUCUGCUUCAUCUAUUCUAUCAUUGUACACGAGAAACCAAUUUUUUAAUUAUUUUUCUGUACCAUUUAUUCUACGUCAUUUACAAUUUUCAAAUAUUUUCAUAUACUCCUUUUCCAAAAAUACUUUUUCUUUAAUUUUCUUAUAAUACUACUACUACUUUGUAUAUUUUAUUUGAUUUUUAACAAUAUUUAAUAAUUUAUGAUUUAUUUUAAUUUUGAAUAAUAUAUUAAAGGUACGUUUUUCUAUUUAUAAUAAAAUCGUUCAUUUGUGUCUAAUAUCGUAUUUUUUCCCAUAAGUUUUACAAACUUUGCCAUCAACUAAACAAUUACCAAUCAUCACGAAUACUUCUAGGUUUUGAAAUUUUAGCACUUCUAAUAGUUUUAGUUUAUAUUUUUCUAAAUAUCUAAAUUCGAUCAAGCUAUUCCCUUGUCAAUAAUAAGAUAAUCAUAUCUUAUAUAUAAAAACUAUGUAUUUAGUUAUUAUGUACAGUGACAGAAGGUAUCUUAAGUUUAUUGUUGGAAUAAUAAUAUGUACAAAUGAAUGAUGUCGUGAGGCUUAAAAUAAUGAUGCACCAAGGUAUAAAACUAUAAAAUUGUUUGGAUCAUGUCAAAUAUUUGAGAGCUCCAACCCCGCACCACAAAGUGGGCCCCAGGCAGCGAAUGGGCUACCUUUUAAAUCUCUCCACCUCCCUGCCUACGGGCUCCCAGCUAUGCAGUGCACUGAGGUUGAAAUUCAUAGUAUUGACUAUGCUUGCUUGUCAGUUUGCGAGUCCGCUGCUGCUUGCUUGUGGUACUUUGCUAUGUAGCUCACCCUUGGAGUAAUGCGUGAGCGUGACCUUGUCGGGGUGGGAGGGCUUAUGCUCAGGUCUUCCAGCUGACUCCAGCGGAUACUCUGGGCAACUAACGAGGAGCUCAACCCAAGCUAAAGUAUAAAAUAUCGUGCUGAUGGCUGAAUGGCACUGGGGUUGGAAUACGGUGUCAUGAACGAUCUCCUUGAGGCGCCUGCGGGCACCCCAUGGUAAUUAAACUCCAGGCAUUCGAGAUUGCCGGGGGUUAAUGAUAAUGCAAUCAGUAUUAAAUAUGACAACACGUUAUGGGGUCUAUUACGUAGCGCCUGUUGUAAUCAUUAUACUGGUAAUAAAAAUAAUAAUAAUACAAUAUAGUGCUAAUAUUAAAUUUAUAUUAUUUUUAUUCUAAUUAAAUUUGAUUUAUUUUAUAUGUUUUUCAGAAAAAAAAACUUAAGGAUGUUUUUUUCUUAUCAUAUGUGAAUCAUUCCCGCUUAUAUAUUUUAUUUUCUGUGACAUUAAGCUCUCCAAUGAUUAAUGGUAUUUGUAAUCUGACCACCUAUAUAAUAUGAUAAUUAUGAUAAAGUUGUGAUGUGUACUUAUGAACCUAUAAGCAUUUUUCAAUUGUAAAGUCAUAUCAGUCAGUCAAUCAUAAGGAAUGCGGAAUGUGUCAUUAAAUUUAUAUUUUUCUGUACAAGUACCGGUAUUAUAUAUAAUGAUAAUAACUUUAUUGAAUAUGUUGUGUUUAUGUUUCAUGUAAUCUAUGUGUUUUUAAUAAUUUCAAAAGAUUGACGAAUCAAAUAUUAUUGUCAUAGCUAUAAGUAACUCGAAAAAUAAAAUGCUUGAAUAUAAAAA